AGCGAGCCGAAGCAGAGUCCGUGAAGCAAGAGAAGCGAGCCGAAGCAGAGUCCGUGAAGCAAGAGAGGCGAGCCGAAGCAGAGUCCGUGAAGCAAGAGAGGCGAGCCGAAGCAGAGUCCGUGAAGCAAGAGAGGCGAGCCGAAGCAGAGUCCGUGAUGCAAGAGAGGCGAGCCGAAGCAGAGUCCGUGAAGCAAGAGAGGCGAGCCGAAGCAGAGUCCGUGAAGCAAGAGAAGCGAGCCGAAGCAGAGUCCGUGAAGCAGAGAAGCGAGCGAAGCAGAGUCCGUGAAGCA
Non-coding RNA from Penaeus vannamei (Pacific white shrimp), 290 nucleotides. The record is from RefSeq and is a predicted model, not a curated record. Lineage: Eukaryota; Metazoa; Arthropoda; Malacostraca; Decapoda; Penaeidae.